CUCAAGCUGAUACAGACCUAUUUGAAAUAUCAAUCCCUGAUGUUUAUCCUUAGGGAAGAUGAUGCAGCAUGAAGACCCUUUCCAGACAGAGGCCCCUUAAUUUCAGACUUCCUAGCUUCCGGUAUGGUAAAGUGAAUCAGGAGAUGAAGACAGCUGAGAACGUGAUCAUCUUCUUUGACGAUGUAUAACCUCAGAG
Long non-coding RNA from Chinchilla lanigera (long-tailed chinchilla), 196 nucleotides. RefSeq lists it as uncharacterized. Lineage: Eukaryota; Metazoa; Chordata; Mammalia; Rodentia; Chinchillidae. The record is from RefSeq and is a predicted model, not a curated record. The transcript is spliced from 3 exons.